AGGACGAACGCUGGCGGCGUGCUUAACACAUGCAAGUCGAGCGAGGCCCGUCCUUCGGGACGGUGCCCUAGCGGCGAACGGGUGAGUAACACGUGGGCAACCUGCCCCUAGCACUGGGAUAACUCCGGGAAACCGGGGCUAAUACCGGAUAUGACCUUUGAGGGCAUCCUCGAAGGUGUAAAGGAUUCUGGCUAGGGAUGGGCCCGCGGCCUAUCAGCUUGUUGGUGGGGUAACGGCCUACCAAGGCGACGACGGGUAGCCGGCCUGAGAGGGCGACCGGCCACACUGGGACUGAGACACGGCCCAGACUCCUACGGGAGGCAGCAGUGGGGAAUAUUGCACAAUGGGCGAAAGCCUGAUGCAGCGACGCCGCGUGAGGGAUGACGGCCUUCGGGUUGUAAACCUCUUUCAGCAGGGACGAAGCGAAAGUGACGGUACCUGCAGAAGAAGCACCGGCCAACUACGUGCCAGCAGCCGC
This 478-nucleotide ribosomal RNA is filed under the name uncultured bacterium. RNAcentral's name for it is "SSU rRNA". It matches the Rfam family "Bacterial small subunit ribosomal RNA", at positions 26 to 518 of the family's 1533-position model. The record is from RNAcentral.